Molecule: ribosomal RNA, 381 nt
Filed under: uncultured bacterium
Lineage: Bacteria
Description: bacterial SSU rRNA
Rfam family: Bacterial small subunit ribosomal RNA
Source: RNAcentral
UGACCGACCUAUGAUAAUGUAGUUUCUCUUCGGAGCAUCGGUGACAGGUGGUGCAUGGUUGUCGUCAGCUCGUGUCGUGAGAUGUUGGGUUAAGUCCCGCAACGAGCGCAACCCCUUGUCUUUAGUUAGCCAGCAAGUAUCGUGCGUGGGACAUCUCGUAGGAGAGCAUCGUGCCAGGUAUAACCUGGGAGGAAGGUGGGGAUGACUGUCAAAUCAUCAUGCCCCUUAUGACUUUGGGCUACACACGUGCUACAAUGGCCGUAAACAAAGAGACGCAGACUCCUGUGAAGGGGAGCAAACUCUCAAAAAUAACGUCUCAGUUCGGAUUGUAGUCUGCAACUCGACUACAUAGAAGCUGGAAUCGUUAGUAAUCGCAGAUCA